This is a small nucleolar RNA of Naja naja (Indian cobra), 96 nucleotides long. Its record names the gene SNORD14. It matches the Rfam family "Small nucleolar RNA SNORD14". Rfam says of the family: U14 small nucleolar RNA (U14 snoRNA) is required for early cleavages of eukaryotic precursor rRNAs. The record is from Ensembl. NCBI's taxonomy places the organism in Eukaryota, Metazoa, Chordata, Lepidosauria, Squamata, Elapidae.
UCGCGAGGAUGAAGGUUCCAAAACCAUUCGUAGUUUCCACCAGAAGGUUUGAAAGACCUAUGUUGGCCAGAACACCUUCCUUGGAUGUCUGAGCGA